RNAcentral lists this ribosomal RNA (237 nucleotides) under Triticum aestivum (bread wheat). The record is from RNAcentral. Lineage: Eukaryota; Viridiplantae; Streptophyta; Magnoliopsida; Poales; Poaceae.
AUGACUCGAUCGUAUGGAUAUGGAAAAUACAGGAUUUCCGAUCCUAGCGGGAAAAGGAGGGAAACGGAUACUCAAUUUAAAGUGAGUAAACAGAAUUCCAUACUCGAUCUCAUAGAUCCCUAUAGAAUUCUGUGGAAAGCCGUAUUCGAUGAAAGUCGUAUGUACGGCUUGGAGGGAGAUCUUUCCUAUCUUUCGAGAUCCACCCUACAAUAUGGGGUCAAAAAGCCAAAAAAAUAA